AUAUCUCAUAAGUUCCAUUUAUUUCAAGAAAAGUCUAGAAAAUAAAAGAAGAGAAGAAGAGAAACUCUAGACUAGAGAGAAAGACCUACGGAUUUGGAGGAGGAAAGAGCCCAAAACGUCACCAAACAGCCCCAAAGUUUUAGCCGCGCUAGGCGAGCUUCCGAGGCAAGUUUUGGCGAGUUUCGGGAAAGAAAAACAAGUUGGACACAUAAGCGUAGCUAGUAAGGUGCGGCACAGGUAUGUAAAACUAACCGUUCCUUCUUUUGGCAUGUCUUUGGCAUAAGUAUGUAAGGCUUACCCUUUUCUUUCAAGGCAUGAUCCCGAUGUUAUGGUUUCAUAAGUGCUUCCAUAUUUUCUUUGUUUUCAAAAGUUAGGUGUCAAUGGUCCCAAGAGAAUGACUAUUUUUUUCUAUAACCCGUCCAUGUUUUCCAAAAUGUCUAUAGCUUUCCAAGACAAAGGUUUACAGUAUUACAAGCUUUUAUGAUAAUAACGAUAGAUAUGUUUUACAACGACAUUGAUGAUGUCGAGAAUGAGAAUAUGUUAUAAUGGCUAUGAUAAGAACAGAUUCAUGUCUAAAAGGUUCUUGAUAUUACUCUCGUCUUGAUUUUUAAAUAAUAGUCUCAUCUUAUAACAAUUGUUCCUUCAAGGUGAGACAAAGCGGCCAUGAUUAAUCCAUAAUAUAAUCGGAGGUUACCGACCUUCCGUCACUCCGUCACUCCGAUAAAUACACGACUUUCGUUGGGCUCUUGUGCAUGCUGUCUAUAUGUAUAUGUAUAUGUAUAUGGGAGAUAUGGGGAGGUGUAUAUGUGGCGCUAUAGACGCAUUCCCACCUGAUCAGUUGGAGUAAUUUUCAUCCUGGACGCGGGAUGCCCGGAUGCGGGACAUAUGUGGGCGAACCGACGUUGUUCGAUGAUAUGACUUUUAUUUUCUAUGUAUAUGAAAAAGAAAUAUUUUUAAAGAUAAGACAAGCAUGCAUGUCAUUCGGCUUAAAAGGCACUCAUAUGUACAGGUUACUUCUCUACCUUGUGAUAUGUUCUAUAUUUCUACCAUGUUAUUAUUCAUAUUUAUAUUCCUUACUAUGUUACUAUUCAUGACUUACAUACUUAGUACAAAGCUCGUACUGACCCUCUUUUUCUUCGGAGGCUGCAUUUCAUGCCGCGCAGGUACACCCAGAUGAGUAGAAGCUAUUGUAGAAGAUGUUCCAACGGGGUUGGCAACUCCACUUGUUAUGAAGUGCUGCCGAGUCAGAGUUUAUGCGCUAUGAUGUUUCGUUCGAAGUUAGAGACUUUGCAGACAGAGUUGUGGGUAUAGAGUGUCAGCUUUGUAAGCGGCGCCACCAGCUGAUAGGUUAUUAUGAAGUAUGUCACAAGUUGUAUGAGCUGAUGGAUUUUUGGAAAGCAGGAUUUGGGAAGCUUAGUUAUGUUUUUUCAUUUUUAUUUAUGUAAAAUUCUAAAGAGAUUGAGAAUGUAAUAUGAGUUAGCGGGUUCGCUCGGCUCCGAGCACGGGGUCGGGUGCCCAUCACACCCUAUUAAGAUCAGGGUGUGACAGUAUGUCAUGUGUAUCACUGCAUAUACACAAAAUAUAAGUGAUAUACAAGUUAUCUUCAUAUAUGUAUUGAUGUAUCUUGUGUAUAAGUCAUUUCUAUCACGUGUAUAUCAUUAUACAUACAAUGACAUACAUAUGACACAUAAGUGAUACAUACUCUGUAUAUUUUGCA
Solanum dulcamara is the source of this 1717-nucleotide RNA transcript. RefSeq lists it as uncharacterized. The record is from RefSeq and is a predicted model, not a curated record. Lineage: Eukaryota; Viridiplantae; Streptophyta; Magnoliopsida; Solanales; Solanaceae. The transcript has 3 exons.